CCUACGGGAGGCUGCAGUAGGGAAUAUUGCUCAAUGGGCGAAACCCUGAAGCAGCAACGCCGCGUGGAGGAUGAUGGUUUUCGGAUUGUAAACUCCUUUUGUUAGAGAAGAUAAUGGCGGUCUCUAACGAAUAAGCACCUGCUAACUCCGUGCCAGCAGCCGCGGUAAUACGGAGGGUGCAAGCGUUACUCGGAAUCACUGGGCGGAAAGAGCGCGUAGGCGGGAUAGCAAUUCGGAGGUGAAAUCCUAGGGCUUAACCAUAGAACUGCAUUUGAAACUGGUAUUCUAGAGUAUGGGAGAGGUAGGUGGAAUUCUUGGUGUAGGGGUAAAAUCCGUAGAGAUCAAGAGGAAUACUGAUUGCGAAGGCGACCUGCUAGAACAUAACUGACGCUGAUGCGCGAAAGCGUGGGGAGCAAACAGGAUUAGAUACCCUAGUAGUC
RNAcentral lists this ribosomal RNA (440 nucleotides) under uncultured bacterium. Its description in RNAcentral is "partial 16S ribosomal RNA". It matches the Rfam family "Bacterial small subunit ribosomal RNA", at positions 338 to 795 of the family's 1533-position model. The record is from RNAcentral.